ACCAAGAGCUCCUAAAGCACAGAGAGAAGGACACACCUGGGUCCCCUCCUGUGUCCACCCCCACACCCACAUGCCCAACCUUCAGGCCUGGAGGGACUUACCCAAAACACCAUUACCAGGUCAAACUCCUUCCCGGCUUCUACCACGUGGAUCUUCAGUGACUGUUUGUUCUGGAUGUUGAGCUCAGGGACUGCAUGAGAAGCCAGCUCAUUAAGGACAUGGUCUCCCUCUCUUCCCCCUCUUGUCCCUACACCCUCUCCACUUCCUGCUCGGCUUUCCUUACAGGACUGGGGCACCAGGAGCUGAAUUUCCUGAGAGGGUCUGGAGCUGCAGCAAGAGGAAUGGAGAUUUGCCUAGAGACCGGAUUUCUGGAUGGGGCUGAGGGGCCCAUGCCUGAAGUGAGGUCCCACGCACCACUGAGAAGACUGAGGGCUGGUGUGCUGCCCCAGGGGUGCCUGGGGGUGCC
Molecule: long non-coding RNA, 466 nt
Organism: Galeopterus variegatus (Sunda flying lemur)
Lineage: Eukaryota; Metazoa; Chordata; Mammalia; Dermoptera; Cynocephalidae
Exons: 3
Source: RefSeq, a predicted model, not a curated record